AUUGAACGCUGGCGGCAGGCCUAACACAUGCAAGUCGAGCGGAUGAAGGGAGCUUGCUCCUGGAUUCAGCGGCGGACGGGUGAGUAAUGCCUAUGAAUCUGCCUGGUAGUGGGGGAUAACGUCCGGAAACGGGCGCUAAUACCGCAUACGUCCUGCGGGAGAAAGUGGGGGAUCUUCGGACCUCACUCUCUCAGAUGAGCCUAGGUCGGAUUAGAUAGUUGGUGGGUUAAAGGCCUACCAAGGCGACGAUCCGUAACUGGUCUGAGAGGAUGAUAAGUCACCUGGGAGGUGAAACAGGGACAAGGGGCCUAAGAGAGGCAGCAGAGGGGAACGGUAGACAGUGGGCGAAAGCCUGAUACAGCCGGGGCGAGUGUGAGAAGGAAGUGUUGGGAGAGUAAAGAACGUUAAGUGGGGAGGAACCGCAGUAAGCAGAGAACAAGCGGAAGUGACGUUACCAGCAGAAAAAGCGCCGGCUAACUACGUG
This 484-nucleotide ribosomal RNA is filed under the name uncultured bacterium. RNAcentral's name for it is "partial 16S ribosomal RNA". It matches the Rfam family "Bacterial small subunit ribosomal RNA", at positions 29 to 507 of the family's 1533-position model. The record is from RNAcentral.